Molecule: ribosomal RNA, 492 nt
Filed under: uncultured bacterium
Lineage: Bacteria
Description: partial 16S ribosomal RNA
Rfam family: Bacterial small subunit ribosomal RNA
Source: RNAcentral
AGUGAACGCUGGCGGUAGGCCUAACACAUGCAAGUCGAACGGCAGCACAGUAAGAGCUUGCUCUUACGGGUGGCGAGUGGCGGACGGGUGAGGAAUACAUCGGAAUCUACUUUUUCGUGGGGGAUAACGUAGGGAAACUUACGCUAAUACCGCAUACGACCUACGGGUGAAAGCAGGGGAUCUUCGGACCUUGCGCGAUUGAAUGAGCCGAUGUCGGAUUAGCUAGUUGGCGGGGUAAAGGCCCACCAAGGCGACGAUCCGUAGCUGGUCUGAGAGGAUGAUAAGCCGCACUGGAACUGAGACACGGUCCAGACUCCUACGGGAGGCAGCAGUGGGGAAUAUUGGACAAUGGGCGCAAGCCUGAUCCAGCCAUACCGCGUGGGUGAAGAAGGCCUUCGGGUUGUAAAGCCCUUUUGUUGGGAAAGAAAAGCAGCAGGUUAAUACCCCGCUGUUCUGACGGUACCCAAAGAAUAAGCACCGGCUAACCUCGUG